Long non-coding RNA from Chelonoidis abingdonii (Abingdon island giant tortoise), 2740 nucleotides. Lineage: Eukaryota; Metazoa; Chordata; Testudines; Testudinidae. The record is from Ensembl.
CUAGUGCAAAAUAGCUAUGUAUAAUGGUGUUUUGUAACUUAACUCUUCCCUCCUCGUAGUGUUCAACAGGUCGCGAGGGCAUUCUAUAGAGAGGAAGAACUAUAUUGAGGACCUUCAGAAGGGCCCCAUGAGAAUGAACCAUGCUGCAGAUGGACUAGGAUUUGAUUUAAUCAAAGGACAAAGCAGCAUGGCACCAAAUUUGGAUUUCCAAUUAGCUGGAUCUCAUCCGUAUUCACAGCAGCUCCCGCUGGCAGACAGCAGGCUCUCCCCUUCUUGGCGAGGAAAGAGAGGAAAAAGAGAACAAAGAGCCCUGUACCCUGUCAGGAAUUUCCACGGGGUUUACGACAAUGGGAGAUCUGCUUAUUACAAGGAAUGUGUCCCUACAGCCAACCUGGCCCAGCAGACACCCCCUUACAACUUGGGACCUGUCAACUACCCUGUUCCCCUACCUUAUAACAAACAGCAUAGUGGUUACAAUGGACCGUACUUUCCAGUGCAAAAUCCUCAUUAUAUACAACGGGAAACAUAUAAAACGAAAAUGUUCAGCAGACCCAAAAGGAAUCACUAUACAUAUUAAUGUGAGGAGCUCAUCUGGUGGAAGAACUUGAUAGUGUGGUAUAUGGAGUCCCCUCUGUGCAGUUUUUUUAAUCUAGACACUUUAUUCGAGAAUGAGUCUUCUAUUCAUUCUAAUACCUUUGCUGUGGUGCCCAUUGCUGGCCAAUUGCCAGUCAGGAAACACAAAGGAAGGAAUCAUUAAUUUUAACAUUGAGACUGUUUUUAAGUUUUAUUUUUCUUAACCAUCUCCACAACAAACCCUUACCUUUUUACUGUAUUGAAAUAUUGUGACAUCCAUGUUAAAAUGACUUAUCAAGCUCUAAAUGGACACCCAAGAUAAAUAUGGACCCAAAUUGACUAGGUGGUUUCCAUGAGAAGUGUCAUGUGCAUUGUUUAAACUCUAAGGAAAUUGUGUUUUGAACGAAUGCCUUCCCCUGUAGUUGUUUAUAACCAAAGCAUAGCAUGGCAAUACCUGGAAAGGUAACCAAAGUGAAAUUGAAUAGUAGAGCAAGCCAGAGAUCAGCCUUUCCAUCCUGUGAAAAAAUCUCAAAUUUUUGAGAACUUUCACCCAAAUGAUCAAAUUAAAAAAGCUUCAUGGGAAGGAUAGACUGAAAAAAUCCCACUUGAUUGAUUUUUCCCACAGAAUUCUUUGGCUUGCUGCCCAGCUCCCUAUGAAGUCUGAUUUCUGGUUGCCUGUUUUCCAUCAAAGAUCUGUCUAAAUUGAUAGGUUUCUACAGAAUGUUUCAAUUUUGAUGAUUGGCAUUUUGCUGAAGAAAAACCUUCAGCUGGAAAACUUUGGACCAGUUCUAUUUAAUAGCCUAACUUUUCCAUUCUUCAAGAGGAGCAAAAUCUAGUGUCAUCAUUUUCAUUUUAUGUUGUUUUAAACAUGUUUUUAACCUUAAUAUUCUCCUAAAUGUAACAGGUGAGGGACUGGGUGGCUCUAGGAAGCCUAAAGGUUGGUUAUUCAGAUUGAAAUUGAAUGUCAGCAAGGUCAUUGCUCCUUAUCCACUACUUGUGAGAGAGGUGAUUGAUAACCAUGGUGGUCUGCAACAGUCUAUGUGGCAGUCUCACAGAGGCUGAGGAUGGAAGCAGAGACUACCUCCUUACUGCAGAGCUCAGCAUGGAGACAUGUUGUCAUUUAUGUCCAGGAGACUUGUAUUAACUGUUCCUGCUCUGUGGGGAAACGGAAACUGAUCUCCAGGGCUUUCAGCCUGGCACUUCAUUUUACCAGCAGUACAUUGACAAGGAUGUUCAAAGCAAGUUGCUUGUGCCCAUUUAGUGAGGCUAACAUCGUGGUCCUAGUUCUGUGAGAACAUGGAAAGGAUAGUGUCACUCAAGCUUUGUCUUCACUGCUUAAAAAGGGGAUUUCUUUGCAGCAAGAUGAAAAAUGCAGGGAAGUUCUUACUGUAAUAUCCUAAGUGGAGAAAAGGCACUUGUGUUUUCUGUAAGGUAGCCUGGCAAGGUCUGCACCGUACUUCUACCUGGAAUUGACCACAUCGAGUUUCUCACAGUAAAACUGAAGCGCCUUGUUUUUUGCAGCAGAAUAUGUAAUCCAUGUUAUCCUAUGAGAGAAGCAACUGUGUGUCAGUGAAGACAAACCCUGAGCAUGGGUUUGCUCUGUGAAUUAAUAGCCAACGUGUCCUCUACCAGGAACAGGAUUCUGAACCUGACAUGAUUGGUUCUUGAUUAGGAUAACUUUGCUGAUGCACACUGAAAACUACUCUAAAUUAAAGUGUGUUCAUUACAGGGCCAUAGUCCUUGAAUAAGAGAAAUCAAGUCUUCUCCCUAACCUGAGAGCUUCAGGUGGACAGGAUUGCAUGUGCCUUGGCAUCAUGAUUUCAUUCCUUGUUCAGUUGCUGGUUGGCUUAUGCAGUAAAGCUCCUCACACUUAGGCAAUCUGAGAGCAAGAACUGACCAGUGGUUUGGAAGGUAAGUCAACAGUCUGCAGCUUCCUCAGGAAUAUCAAUUCUUGUAUUUAAGUUAUUCACAUCUCUGUGGAGGUAUUGUUUGCUGCAGUCAGUGAAAGUUUAUUUUAAAUUGGAAGUAAAGUUUAAGCUUAAACUGUAUUAAUGAGCUUUUGCUCCUGAAGUGCUUCAUAAACUUCUUGUGCAUUUUAUAAAUGACUCUAGCUAGCUAUCCUUUGCUUGCCUUUUAGGUGCAGCAGGUUGUAAUAAUAAAACGUGGU